UACGUAGGGUGCAAGCGUUGUCCGGAAUUAUUGGGCGUAAAGAGCUCGUAGGCGGUUAGUCGCGUCUGCUGUGAAAACUCGGGGCUUAACUCCGGGCCUGCAGUGGGUACGGGCUGACUAGAGUGCGGUAGGGGAGACUGGAAUUCCUGGUGUAGCGGUGAAAUGCGCAGAUAUCAGGAGGAACACCGGUGGCGAAGGCGGGUCUCUGGGCAACAACUGACGCUGAGGCACGAAGGUCAGGGGAGCAAACGGG
This 253-nucleotide ribosomal RNA is filed under the name uncultured bacterium. RNAcentral describes it as "partial 16S ribosomal RNA". It matches the Rfam family "Bacterial small subunit ribosomal RNA", at positions 524 to 776 of the family's 1533-position model. The record is from RNAcentral.